GCUGAACACAUAUGCACAAUAAAAGUGUGGAAAAUGUGACCCACUUUAUCUGACAAAGCCUUUUGCAGGCACAAGAAGCCCCUGACCCUCAUUUGCUGCUUCCUCUUCCACCCACACCCACACUGAUGCUGGAAAUGUCCUUUUUGGGGGGGGCUCUGAAGACAGUUCCUGGUAAGUGCAUGACCCUGACUGCACAGAGCAGGAUGUAACAGUUUUCUGAUAGCUAAAACUGUUCUAGCUGCAAAACAAACACAUGUACACACACAGACAUUACGACAUCAGUGGGUUUUUUUACAUCUGGUGCCAUCAAAUAUAUGAAGAUGGUCUUCAGGACCAUCUUGAAAACUUCUCAAAACUAACUAAGGCAUCUUUAAACUAGCCAAAGCAUCUUGUUAGCUUCUUGCAACUAACAACUAGAUGCAAGCUUUCUUCUGGUAGACACCUCUUUCCCAUUGCCUAUUAGUCCUUGCUCUAAACAGUUCAUUGCACUGGCAUCAAGAGUGCAGAAUCACACUCUCUUUAUUUCUGUCCAAUAUCUGCAUUUUCAGUCCCUAAAAAAGGGAGAUGAGACAGUAUUUUGCAAGAAUCUUGCAAGUGCUUCCACUACUGCAAACUAGUAACUUUUCAACAGCACCUGUGAAAAGGCUUCCUGAAAGUCUGUGAUGGAAAUGAACACAUCAGUCCAUUUUCAGCCAAUCCUCUUUUUAUAGAAAUAGAGCUUACCUGCAAAACCCACCUUAGCUAACUCAGAAACAGGAAGAUACUAGAAAAAUGUUGAAAGAAGAAAAAAAAAAAAAACAUUUUACAAAACCAAAUGUUCCUGGAAGUAGUAAGAAAUUAAUGUCAAUUCUCUCCUGGGAGAAUGGAGCUAGUUACACACAGGCUGUCUCCUGACUUAAAAUUAUUUUUCAAUACAAGAUAUAUUUGUGAAAACUAAACUGAAAACCAAAGGGAUCACAAAACCUUUUAUGUCAGUCCUUCAGCUUCACCCAAAGACACAGAGCCAGGAGCCAAAGAAGAGAUUCAUGAUGGACAAGCAUGUUCCUGAAAAACCUGGAGGAGCAGAGCCACUGCCCCUCAGCAGAGCAAACCUGCAAGUGACAGCUGCCAUGCUGUGCAGCACAUCUAGGGGGAAUGGGGCAAAAUGGAGGCUUCUGGAGCAGGAUAAAGUUUUCCCCCAGGUCGCUUGGCAGCAAAGGGUAGUGUGUGCUAUGUUCGAGCUGCAGACAUGUGUGUGAACCCCUGCAUGCCAACAGCCAGCAAACAGCCUGAAACCUUUCCUGCUGUACUUCCAUGGGACUCUGCUCUGCCCAGCUGAUGGUUUUUGUGGGCACUUGUGGUGGGAUCCACCUCACCUCACCUGCUUUGUAGAGUCACCUACUGUGGUUGCUGCUCAGGUUUCCAUUAUCAUCAGGGAGAUGGAGUCAACAGAGCCCAGAAUGUAGUUCAUUCCACAUCAGGAUAAAACAUAACUUGCUUGCACCCAGUGGUUUAUAUUUAUUAGCACUUCACUGAUGAUAAAAAGAGCUAUAAAACCAGAUGCUUGUCUUAUAAACACCUAAUCUUAAAUGAACUCAACCCAUAGUGAUUCUGGGUACAUUUAUAUACACUUUGCUCUUGAAACCCAAGAACAACUGUGGGCCCAGGGUCAAAAUCAAACACUGCAAACUGGCUCAGUUUCCUGCUGCUGACAACAAGGAUGCUUUGGAGUAGAUGAUUUGCACCUACAGAGAAGAUGAAGGGAAGUGUUGCAGUGUGGUUUAAUUUAGUCAGUUGGUUUUAUCAAUGUUAGUUAGUCUUUAUGCUCCCCCAUUUGUCCCCCUGUUACAUUAUCAUAGGUUGUUGUAUCCCUCUCUGGUUUAUCCCCAUUGGGCAAGACAGGUUUCCACCCCUGUCUGCCCACCCCUUAUUUAAGUUGCUGUAAUAAUUGAUUUCUUUGGCAUUUGUCACUGCACCCACCCAGAGGGCACCUUUCUUGCCCCACCUGGGGAAAUCAAAGGACUCUUUGGGCUGGCAUACAAGUGUCCUACUCUCAUCCCUUCACCUCCUCUCAGGGUGCAGAGUUGCCCAAGCUGCACCCACGAGCAGCACUCAGCACCAUCGGGGCAGAUGAUUCUCCCUGAGGUGCCACUCACAGGGCGGCCACGCGGCCUCACACGGGCGGUGCUGGCCGGGACCUUCCACCCACCCGGGGCCAUGGCAGGUACCGCUGCAGGGAAACGUCAGCACAGGGCUCACCUGCUCACCCACAGGCCUCCUUGGCUU
RNAcentral lists this long non-coding RNA (2265 nucleotides) under Taeniopygia guttata (zebra finch). RNAcentral's name for it is "lncRNA (ENSTGUG00000019703.1)". The record is from RNAcentral. Lineage: Eukaryota; Metazoa; Chordata; Aves; Passeriformes; Estrildidae.